AAAAAUUCCAGAACUUAGGAAUUCAGUCUUUGAGAAUUAAAAAAAAAAGUGAGGCCUUUUCUUUACUGCUGAAUAUCAGAAUUAGUACUGUUACCGAUCCACUGGCUAUUGCUGGAUUUUCUACUUGGUUUUUAAAUCUAUUCUUGGGUCUUCCUGCACUAGAUUAUCAUUGGGUUACUGCUGGUCUUGUUGCUAUUAUUUGCUGUGGUAUUCUGUUGUUGUUGUUGUGUUGUGCUACUGCUGCACUACUAACUUCUUCCUCUUAUUUGCUUUCCGAAUACCAGGUACAUAGCUCAUACACUGGUUAAUGUAAGCUAAAAAUUGAAGCAUGAAUAAGAAAUGAAGAAUUGAAGUUUUAAAUUCGUUGUAGUUGUC
Molecule: long non-coding RNA, 375 nt
Filed under: Nicotiana benthamiana
Lineage: Eukaryota; Viridiplantae; Streptophyta; Magnoliopsida; Solanales; Solanaceae
Description: long non-coding RNA (NBEN_LNC035982)
Source: RNAcentral